CUAGGGAAGAACAAGAGAGGAGAAAACAGCUGAUGACAGCUGACUGUGUUGAGAGUCUCAGGAAGAGAACAGGGAAUCAAGCAGUGAGUCAGCUCAUUCUCUUUUCUCAGGCUUCAGGCAGGAAAGGGGGAGAUCUAUGGAUAAUAAAAGAAGCUAGAAAGUUAUUGUUUACAGGAAUGCCUCUUCUCAGCUGGGCUCUGACCUCUUUCCAUCACCGCUACAUGGACUUUCACCAUAUCGAGGAUGUGGUGCCAGGUACUGAGGUUUUAGCACUGUGCCUCUGUGCCAAUCUCAUCUUGGAAAGUCCCUCAAGUGCUUGGGAUCUUCUCAUCUUGUGGCAUCCAUCAUCUGCCAUGGAAACUUCCUUAUCCCAUUGGUGAGUUUGUUCCAGAGCUUCCAUUUUGGAGAGAGGCUCAAGUUGUCCAAAUUCAUUCCCUUCCUGGCUUUACUUCCGACUUUCCCAACUUCACCAUGCCCUUACACUGGAUACCUUCAUCCUUUUCUCCAUCCCUGCCCCCAAUUACCCAGCUUCCUUUUGGAUAUUGCCUUCUACCCAUUAGAAUGCGAGUUUCUUGAGGACAGGGACUGUCUUUUCCCCUUUAUUGGAUUCCUGACACUCAGCACAGUAUCUGACAUAGUUGCCUUGCCUUGCAACCCACAUUGGAACAUGAAAACUCAGCAACAUUCUGACAAUUGUUUUGGUACCUGUUUGUAUAUCUCAAGUGGUGGGCUCUUGAGCCCAUUCUAUUAAAAAAAAUCCCUACCUUCUGUCUUCCAAUCUCUCAGAUAGUUAAGGACAGUGAUCAUGUCCCCAUCAUCUUCCCUUCUCCAAGCUAGUUUUGGUGAAACACUUCUGCCAAGCUUCAUUUUGUACAGUUGCAAGUCUUCUCAUUUUUGAGCAGUAGUGAGAC
Molecule: long non-coding RNA, 911 nt
Filed under: Monodelphis domestica (gray short-tailed opossum)
Lineage: Eukaryota; Metazoa; Chordata; Mammalia; Didelphimorphia; Didelphidae
Description: lncRNA (ENSMODG00000031077.2)
Source: RNAcentral